Molecule: ribosomal RNA, 406 nt
Filed under: uncultured bacterium
Lineage: Bacteria
Description: partial 16S ribosomal RNA
Rfam family: Bacterial small subunit ribosomal RNA
Source: RNAcentral
AUUGAACGCUGGCGGCAGGCCUAAUACAUGCAAGUCGAACGAGUGGCGGACGGGUGAGUAAUGUCUGGGAAACUGCCUGCUGGAGGGGGAUAACUACUGGAAACGGUAGUUAAUACCGCAUACCAUCGGAUGAGCCAAGAUGGGAUUAGCUAGUAGGUGGGGUAAAGGUUCACCUAGGCGACGAUCCCUAGCUGGUCUGAGAGGAUGACCGGCCAAACUGGAACUGAGACACGGUCCAGACUCCUACGGGAGGCAGCAGUGGGGAAUAUUGCGCAAUGGGCGAAAGCCUGAUGCAGCCAUGCCGCGUGUAUGAAGAAGGCCUUCGGGUUGUAAAGUACUUUCAGCGGGGAGGCGUUACCCGCAGAAGAAGCACCGGCUAACUCCGUGCCAGCCGCCGCGGUAAUUC